UUAGAGUUUGAUCCUGGCUCAGGAUGAACGCUAGCGGCAGGCUUAACACAUGCAAGUCGAGGGGCAGCGAGGGUGAUAGCAAUAUUACCUGUCGGCGACCGGCGCACGGGUGCGUAACGCGUAUGCAACCUACCAUCAACAGGGGGAUAACACUGAGAAAUUGGUACGAAUACCCCAUAAUAUCUCAUGCGGCAUCGCAUGGGGUUGAAAACUCCGGUGGUUGAUGAUGGGCAUGCGUUGUAUUAGCUGGUUGGUGAGGUAACGGCUCACCAAGGCGACGAUACAUAGGGGGACUGAGAGGUUAACCCCCCACAUUGGUACUGAGACACGGACCAAACUCCUACGGGAGGCAGCAGUGAGGAAUAUUGGUCAAUGGACGCAAGUCUGAACCAGCCACGCCGCGUGCAGGAUGACGGCUCUAUGAGUUGUAAACUGCUUUUGUACGAGGGUAAACCCCGAUACGUGUAUUGGGUUGAAAGUAUCGUACGAAUAAGGAUCGGCUAACUCCGUGCCAGCAGCCGCGGUAAUACGGAGGAUCCGAGCGUUAUCCGGAUUUAUUGGGUUUAAAGGGUGCGUAGGCGGUUUGAUAAGUUAGAGGUGAAAUGUCGGGGCUCAACCCCGAAACUGCCUCUAAUACUGUUGGACUAGAGAAUAGUUGCGGUAGGCGGAAUGUAUGGUGUAGCGGUGAAAUGCUUAGAGAUCAUACAGAACACCGAUUGCGAAGGCAACUUACCAAACUAUAUCUGACGUUGAGGCCCGAAAGCGUGGGGAGCGAACAGGAUUAGAUACUCUGGUAGUCCACGCCGUAAACGAUGUAUACCAGGUGUCGGAUAUCAAGGAUAUCCGGUGCCGAAGCAAACGCAUUAAGUAUACCACCUGGGGAGUACGUUCGCAAGAAUGAAACUCAAAGGAAUUGACGGGGACCCGCGCAAGCGGUGGAGCAUGUGGUUUAAUUCGAAGCAACGCGAAGGACCUUACCAAGUCUUGACAUCCCGGUGACGCAGGAGUAACAUUCUGUUCCCUACGGGGCACCGGAGACAGGUGGUGCAUGGUUGUCGUCAGCUCGUGUCGUGAGAUGUUGGGUUAAGUCCCGCAACGAGCGCAACCCCUAUUUCCAGUAGCCAGCAGGUAGAGCUGGGCACUCUGGAGAGACUGCCCGGGAUAACCGGGAGGAAGGCGGGGACGACGUCAAAUCAUCAUGCCCCUUAUGAUCAGGGCUACACACGUGCUACAAUGGCGUAAACAAAGGGAGGCGAAGGAGCGAUCUGGAGCGAACCCCAAAAAUAACGUCUCAGUUCGGAUUGCAGGCUGCAACCCGCCUGCAUGAAGCCGGAAUCGCUAGUAAUCGCAGAUCAGAAUGCUGCGGUGAAUAAAUCCCGGGUCUUGCACACACCGCCCGUCAAG
Molecule: ribosomal RNA, 1404 nt
Filed under: uncultured bacterium
Lineage: Bacteria
Description: partial 16S ribosomal RNA
Rfam family: Bacterial small subunit ribosomal RNA
Source: RNAcentral